GGAAAGUGCUUUGAAUAGGUGGCUUUCAAUCCACACUUACUACCUUUGUACCGAGAUCUCUCUGACGCCAGUCAUCCAGCUUUUUGAUAUGGGCUGAAGCAGGCAGUGGCCACAUCAGAAUGGCCGGGGAUCCAAAACGCACAGGUUACACGGUAUAUAUCUGUGAGUUUUGACUAUGAUCGCAUCAUGCUGCCAGGGAUUCUCUUCUUUCUGUUGAAUUGGGUUGAGACGAUCAUGAACUCACACAAGGAGAAUAGUCAUUGCAUCAUGCUAAUGUUUGUCAUCUCCCUUUGAAGAGAUGAUAGGUUCAUCCAAGUGUAACACUGAUGAGGUGGUUUUCUACACACUCAAGAGAUCCAUUUGGGGUGAGAGAGGAAAAUUAGAAGACUAAUAAGACUCGCCUAAGUCUAACUCUCUGUGUGACUGGAAGGAUCAGAGUAGAGAAGAUCAUUUUACAGAUGAGGCAACUGAGAUAAACAAGGCUAUGUGACUUGUCCAGAUUGUACAGCUAGCAAGCGUCUGAGGUCGGAUUUGAACUCACAAAGAUAAUCCUUCCUGACUCCAGUCCUGGAAUUCUAUCCACUGUGCAAUCCAGCUGCUCCCCAAACAAGAUUCUACUGGACCAAGAUAUAAUGGGGCAAGAGGAGGACACAGAUGAUAAAAAUCAAUGCAUUUCCAGAACUCCUGACAUACACUUUAUCUACCAUGGAAUGCUAAGAGGGAUGCACAGUCAAUGUCAUGAUUCCUGAAAGUCUAAAUUCAGGCCCUUGAUGCCAGCCUAUAGCCAGGAAGAAGAAUCCAACAGCCAAGAAAAGAACAGAAGACUCUGGAAAGAUAAAGCAAUACUAUCCAUCAAUGGUAAAUCAUAACAUUAGUAGGCAGAGCCUUCCUUGUAAGAGACUAAUAUUUAGAUUGUAGGACAAUACAGAAGAAUGCUCUUAUUUAUAUAGAAGCUUUGGUUCAUUACUCACACUGUUUCUGUAAAAAUGAGAGAAUGACUAGCAAAGUGCUUUGAAAAGCAUACAGUAUUACAUAAAUGUGAGGUGGUUCUUAUUAUUAUAAUUAUCGCUACUAAUAAUAAUGGUCACAUAUAAUUUUUUUGAGUUACAAAGCGCCUUAUAGAAGUGACCAAUAGGCAAGCUGGUACCGUGGACAGAGAACUGGAGCUAGACCCUGGGUUCCUAUUCUGCCUAAGAUAUUUACUAGCUGUGUGACCCUGGACAAAUCACUGGACCUCUUCUUGCUUUAGUUCCUCAUCUAUAAAAAUGGGGAUAAUAAUAACACCAGGAUUGUUAUGAAGAUAAAAUGAGGCAAUCUUUAUAAUGUACUUUGCAAACCCUAAGGAGUUAGAGUAUAAAUGUUUGUUUUUCUAUUAUUAGGUCAUUUGAUAUUAUAACUAUUAUCAUUGUUAUGGAAUUGCAUCCUCAUUUCAGGCAAUGACCUUGCCGCCUUCAUACUCCUGUCUUCUCCAUGACAAGUAUAAUACAUUACAUACAGCAUGUACUUAAUAAAUGUUUGUUGUUUCUUUGAACCA
This 1534-nucleotide long non-coding RNA is filed under the name Monodelphis domestica (gray short-tailed opossum). RNAcentral's name for it is "lncRNA (ENSMODG00000030036.2)". Lineage: Eukaryota; Metazoa; Chordata; Mammalia; Didelphimorphia; Didelphidae. The record is from RNAcentral.